GAUGAACGCUGGCGGCGUGCCUAAUACAUGCAAGUCGAGCGAACAGACGAGGAGCUUGCUCCUCUGACGUUAGCGGCGGACGGGUGAGUAACACGUGGAUAACCUACCUAUAAGACUGGGAUAACUUCGGGAAACCGGAGCUAAUACCGGAUAAUAUAUUGAACCGCAUGGUUCAAUAGUGAAAGACGGUUUUGCUGUCACUUAUAGAUGGAUCCGCGGCGCAUUAGCUAGUUGGUAAGGUAACGGUUUACCAAGGCGACGAUGCGUAGCCGACCUGAGAGGAGGAUCAGCCACACUGGAACUGAGACACGGUCCAGACUCCUACGGGAGGCAGCAGUGGGGAAUAUUGGACAAUGGGCGCAAGCCUGAUCCAGCAAUACCGCGUGGGUGAAGAAGGUCUUCGGGUUGUAAAGCCCUGUUGUUGGGAAAGAAAAGCAGCAGGUUAAUACCCCGCUGUUCUGACGGUACCCAAAGAAGAAGCACCGGCUAACUUCGUG
RNAcentral lists this ribosomal RNA (497 nucleotides) under uncultured bacterium. RNAcentral's name for it is "partial 16S ribosomal RNA". It matches the Rfam family "Bacterial small subunit ribosomal RNA", at positions 28 to 507 of the family's 1533-position model. The record is from RNAcentral.